This 1948-nucleotide ribosomal RNA is filed under the name Thrips nigropilosus. Its description in RNAcentral is "eukaryotic LSU rRNA". It matches the Rfam family "Eukaryotic large subunit ribosomal RNA", at positions 72 to 1839 of the family's 3401-position model. Lineage: Eukaryota; Metazoa; Arthropoda; Insecta; Thysanoptera; Thripidae. The record is from RNAcentral.
GGAUUCCCUUAGUAGCGGCGAGCGAAACGGGAGGAGCCCAGCGCUGAAUCCUUCGUGAUGAAAUUUCACGUUUGGAAAUGUAGCGUUAAGGAGUGUCCAUCAACACGGCGUUUGCAGCUCGCUCAAGUCAACCUUGAACGGGGCCACACAGAGGGUGAUAUGCCCGUGUAGCAGCAUGCGGACGUCGUGUGGGCAUCUCCUCAGAGUCGGUCUGUUUGAAAAUGCAGACCUAAGUGGGUGGUAGACUCCAUCUAAGGCUAAAUAUGACCACAUGACCGAUAGCACACAAGUACCAUGAGGGAAAGGUGAAAAGAACUUUGAAGAGAGAGUUCAAGAGUACGUGAAACUGAGCUGAUAUAAGCGGACAGAAUCGAAAAGUGCGAAAGGAUCUGACUCAGGUGAUCCCUGGGGGAGUCUCUAUAGCUGCGGAAACAAAGUCAUGGAAACAGAGGGCUGAGACUUACCCCUUGGAGAAGCUGCACUUCUYYCUAGUAGCAUGUCGCGGCUCGUUGGGAGUCCGGUCCAAGGCCCGGGGUGGAGACUUCACGAUUCUGAGGAAGAGUGUUGACCCUUGGUGUCCUGGCCGGCGCCCGACGGUGUUGGAUUGGCGGGGCCCCAUUCCGCGCAUUAUGGCGCGGCAAGGUCCUGCCGGUCUGCGGCACUUCUGCUUUCGAUCCCUGACCGUCCCGUCUUGAAACACGGACCAAGGAGUCUAGCAUGUUGGCGAGUCAAUGGGCUUACUAAACCCAAAGGCGAAAUGAAAGUGAAGGAACGAGUCUGACUUGUUCUGAGGGGUGAUGGUCGUGCUUCCAUGCCGGCCCGCAACCCCGGGGCAUCAAUCCCUCAUUGAGGGGUGAUGUACCUUGAGCCUACAUGUUGGUACCCGAAAGAUGGUGAACUAUGCCUGGCCAGGGCGAAGCCAGGGGAAACCCUGGUGGAGGCCCGCAGCAAUUCUGACGUGCAAAUCGAUUGUCAGAGCUGGGUAUAGGGGCGAAAGACUAAUCGAACCAUCUAGUAGCUGGUUCCCCCUGAAGUUUCCCUCAGGAUAGCUGGCUUUUAUAUAAGUCUCAUCUGGUAAAGCGAAUGAUUAGAGGCAUUGGGGUCGAAACGAUCUCAACCUAUUCUCAAACUUUAAAUGGGUGAGAACUCAGACUUGCUUCGGUGAAGUCGUGAGUUCCUCGGAUUUUGAAAGCCAAGUGGGCCAAUUUUGGUAAGCAGAACUGGCGCUGUGGGAUGAACCAAAUGCGGAGUUAAAGCGCCUAAGACGACGCUGACAGGAUACCAUGAAAGGCGUUGGUCGCUUAAGACAGCAGGACGGUGGCCAUGGAAGUUGGAAUCCGCUAAGGAGUGUGUAACAACUCACCUGCCGAAGCAACUAGCCCUGAAAAUGGAUGGCGCUCAAGCGUCGCGCUUAUACUCCGCCGUCAGUGCAAAUGGCCUUCGGGUUCAGUGAAGCAUUGAUGAGUAAGGGGGUCGCGUGGGUGUGCGUAGAAGGGUCUGGGCGUGAGCCUGCCUGGAGCCGCCCACGGUGCAGAUCUUGGUGGUAGUAGCAAAUACUCUGGAGAGUCCUCGGAGGACGGAUGUGGGGAAGGGCUCCGCGACAACAGUGUUUGUUCGCGAGUUAGCCGAACCUAAGCCUAAAGAGAGAUCUUUAGUAAUGUUGAGCCUUCGGGUUCCAUUCGGGCGAAAGGGAAUCCUGUAAACAUUCAGGGGCCCCGGUCGGAACCGCAUCUCAGGUCCCAUAACCUGUCACGGCAACGUGAAUUGCCCCAGAGACGCCCUCGGGUGCUACCAGGAGAGUUUUCUUUUCUCUUUGAGCAUGCGUAAUCCAUGGAAUUCCUUAACGGAGAGAUAUGGACUGGCUUUGCGAAGAGCGCCGCAGUUGCUGCGGUGUUGGUAGUUACUCCUGGGACCUUGAAAAUCUGGGUGAGGGCCACGAGUGCCUCCG